AGUGAACGCUGGCGGUAGGCCUAACACAUGCAAGUCGAACGGCAGCACAGUAAGAGCUUGCUCUUACGGGUGGCGAGUGGCGGACGGGUGAUGAAUACAUCGGAAUCUACUUUUUCGUGGGGGAUAACGUAGGGAAACUUACGCUAAUACCGCAUACGACCUACGGGUGAAAGCAGGGGAUCUUCGGACCUUGCGCUAUUGAAUGAGCCGAUGUCGGAUUAGCUAGUUGGCGGGGUAAAGGCCCACCAAGGCCACGAUCCGUAGCUGGUCUGAGAGGAUGAUCAGCCACACUGGAACUGAGACACGGUCCAGACUCCUACGGGAGGCAGCAGUGGGGAAUAUUGGACAAUGGGCGCAAGCCUGAUCCAGCCAUACCGCGUGGGUGAAGAAGGCCUUCGGGUUGUAAAGCCCUUUUGUUGGGAAAGAAAAGCAGCAGGUUAAUACCCCGCUGUUCUGACGGUACCCAAAGAAGAAGCACCGGCUAACUUCGUG
This 492-nucleotide ribosomal RNA is filed under the name uncultured bacterium. RNAcentral's name for it is "partial 16S ribosomal RNA". It matches the Rfam family "Bacterial small subunit ribosomal RNA", at positions 29 to 507 of the family's 1533-position model. The record is from RNAcentral.